RNAcentral lists this transfer RNA (83 nucleotides) under archaeon. Its description in RNAcentral is "tRNA-Ser". It matches the Rfam family "tRNA". From Rfam's summary of the family: Transfer RNA (tRNA) molecules are approximately 80 nucleotides in length. Their secondary structure includes four short double-helical elements and three loops (D, anti-codon, and T loops). The record is from RNAcentral. RNAcentral also lists the same sequence under 1 other name.
GCAGGGAUGGCAGAGCGGUCAAAUGCGCCGGCCUUGAGAGCCGGAGCCGAAAGGCUACGGGAGUUCGAAUCUCCCUCCCUGCG